GAUUUGGCUGCCCAAAAUAUUUUACUCGCUGACGAUGGAAUUGCUAAAGCGGCCGAUUUUGGAAUGACGAGGAAAAUGUACUACGAGGAAAAUUACGAAAAAAAUGGACAGGGUUUAAUGCCGCUCAAAUGGAUGGCGAUUGAAUCCUUGACGGAUCGCAUCUUUUCCAGCCAAUCUGACGUGUGGUCGUACGGAGUUGUUCUCUGGGAACUCUUUUCUCUGGGAAAUAAGUUCCCUAUCCAGGCAUGGACGUCGGCCACAUUCUGUUGAAGGAAAUUCUAAACGGACAUCGGAUGGACAAACCAGCCCUUGCCCCCAAUAUCUUCAGGGAAAUGAUGAGAAAUUGCUGUAAACGGAUCCAAAGGAGACACCCACUUUCAGUCAAUUGGAGGAGAUUAUCUGCGGCCAAAUGGAGUCGUCAGUCACCGUUGACUAUUUGAACAUGAACGCGCCGUACGAAAAACAGAACGAAGAAAGAAAGAACGCAACCCAAAAGGAUCAUUUUGGACUGUCCAAGUUGUUGAGUGAAAACCCGAAAGCUCAACCGAAGGAAAAGUCAUCACGGUCCUCAUCUUUUCCCAUGCGAUUCUCAAAAAUAGAUGCGGAGGAAGAUUUAUCUUUAUAAACGUGAUUAGUCCAUGUUAUUGAACUGUCAAUGUCAUUGAUUAGUGGAAUUCUCGAUUUCUAUUUAUCUAAAUGAUUUGAAUUACCAUGUCUUUCUCUUUAAUUCAUUAAAAAAAUCUGACAAGCGUACAAUGUGCAUCAGGAAUCGGUGAAUCACCAGCAAUCAGCAACAGGUAUGACGUGCAUUUUUCAUUAUUCACUAGUCAUUGGUUGUCCCCAUCAUUUUCGAGUGUGCAGCCCUUUGCUUUUGGAUCCGUGAAUUUUUACUACGAGAUCUGUCUGUCAAUUUAAAAAUUUGCUAGUCU
Molecule: long non-coding RNA, 929 nt
Organism: Daphnia pulicaria
Lineage: Eukaryota; Metazoa; Arthropoda; Branchiopoda; Diplostraca; Daphniidae
Exons: 3
Source: RefSeq, a predicted model, not a curated record